GGCUGGCCCAAGUACAGAGGUGUUUACAACCAAUUGAUUACCAGUUACAGAUGUCUUUGUUCCUGCUCCACUCCCACUGUUUCAUUUGACUAGCCUUUU
This 99-nucleotide Y RNA is filed under the name Callithrix jacchus (white-tufted-ear marmoset). RNAcentral's name for it is "Y RNA (ENSCJAG00000042800.3)". It matches the Rfam family "Y RNA". From Rfam's summary of the family: Y RNAs are components of the Ro ribonucleoprotein particle (Ro RNP), in association with Ro60 and La proteins. The Y RNAs and Ro60 and La proteins are well conserved, but the function of the Ro RNP is not known. In humans the RNA component can be one of four small RNAs -- hY1, hY3, hY4 and hY5. Lineage: Eukaryota; Metazoa; Chordata; Mammalia; Primates; Cebidae. The record is from Rfam by way of RNAcentral.